CCUACGGGUGGCAGCAGUAAGGGAUAUUGGUCAAUGGGCGAAACCCUGAACCAGCAAAGCCGCGUGAGGGAAGACGGUUUUCGGAUUGUAAACCUCUGUCCUCUGUGAAGAUGAUGACGGUAGCAGAGGAGGCAGCUCCGGCUAACUACGUGCCAGCAGCCGCGGUACUACGUAGGGGGCGAGCGUUGUCCGGAUUGACUGGGUGUAAAGGGUGUGUAGGCGGCUUGGCAAGUCAGUAGUGAAAUCCAUGGGCUUAACCCAUGAACUGCUAUUGAAACUGUGGAGCUUGAGUGAAGGAGAGGUAGGCGGAAUUCCUGGUGUAGCGGUGAAAUGCGUAGAGAUCGGGAGGAACACCAGUGGCGAAGGCGGCCUACUGG
RNAcentral lists this ribosomal RNA (377 nucleotides) under uncultured bacterium. Its description in RNAcentral is "partial 16S ribosomal RNA". It matches the Rfam family "Bacterial small subunit ribosomal RNA", at positions 338 to 732 of the family's 1533-position model. The record is from RNAcentral.